AGUGAACGCUGGCGGCGUGCCUAAUACAUGCAAGUAGAACGGAGUGGCGCACGGGUGAGUAAUGUAUAGCUAAUCUGCCCUACACUAGAGGACAACAGUUGGAAACGACUGAUAAUACUCUCUAGUGUAGGGUGAGGCUAUAUUGUAUCAGCUAGUUGGGUAGGUAAUGGCGCACCAAGGCUAUGACGCAUAACUGGUUUGAGAGGAUGAUCAGUCACACUGGAACUGAGACACGGUCCGGACUCCUACGGGAGGCAGCAGUAGGGAAGAUUGCUCAAUGGGGGUAACCCUGAAGCAGCAACGCCGCGUGGAGGAUGACACUUUUCGGAGCGUAAACUCCUUUUGUUAGGGAAGCGGUACCUAACGAAUAAGCACCGGCUAACUCCGUGCCAGCCGCCGCGGUAAUUC
RNAcentral lists this ribosomal RNA (408 nucleotides) under uncultured bacterium. RNAcentral describes it as "partial 16S ribosomal RNA". It matches the Rfam family "Bacterial small subunit ribosomal RNA", at positions 29 to 526 of the family's 1533-position model. The record is from RNAcentral.